CUAAUUAUUAAGUGAUUUAUCUGAUUUUAAUGGAAGUGUUCCAUAAGAAAUAAACCUCCUCCAUGCCAAAACCACGUGCCAAAAUAAUUCCACACCCCAUUUAUUUUUGGCAUUAAGAGGAAAAGUCCUUCUCACUUACUCCUCUUAAAUUUCUUACUUUAUUUCCAUGCGUUCCUUUAUUUUCACACGUCAUAUGAUGACUCUUGAGAUAUAUGGGCACAGA
This 223-nucleotide long non-coding RNA is filed under the name Elaeis guineensis (African oil palm). Its description in RNAcentral is "long non-coding RNA (EGUI_LNC065446)". The record is from RNAcentral. Lineage: Eukaryota; Viridiplantae; Streptophyta; Magnoliopsida; Arecales; Arecaceae.